AGUGAACGCUGGCGGUAGGCCUAACACAUGCAAGUCGAACGGCAGCACAGUAAGAGCUUGCUCUUACGGGUGGCGAGUGGCGGACGGGUGAGGAAUACAUCGGAAUCUACUUUUUCGUGGGGGAUAACGUAGGGAAACUUACGCUAAUACCGCAUACGACCUACGGGUGAAAGCAGGGGAUCUUCGGACCUUGCGCGAUUGAAUGAGCCGAUGUCGGAUUAGCUAGUUGGCGGGGUAAAGGCCCACCAAGGCGACGAUCCGUAGCUGGUCUGAGAGGAUGAUCAGCCACACUGGAACGUAGACACGGUCCAGACUCCUACGGGAGGCAGCAGUGGGGAAUAUUGGACAAUGGGCGCAAGCCUGAUCCAGCCAUACCGCGUGGGUGAAGAAGGCCUUCGGGUUGUAAAGCCCUUUUGUUGGGAAAGAAAAGCAGCAGGUUAAUACCCCGCUGUUCUGACGGUACCCAAAGAAUAAGCACCGGCUAACUUAGUG
RNAcentral lists this ribosomal RNA (492 nucleotides) under uncultured bacterium. RNAcentral's name for it is "partial 16S ribosomal RNA". It matches the Rfam family "Bacterial small subunit ribosomal RNA", at positions 29 to 507 of the family's 1533-position model. The record is from RNAcentral.